GAAAUGCGAUAAGUAAUGUGAAUUGCAGAAUUCAGUGAAUCAUCGAAUCUUUGAACACACCUUGCGCUCCUUGGUAUUCCUUGGAGCAUGCCUGUUUGAGUAUCAUGAAAUCUUCAAGGUAAAUCUUUUGUUAACUCAAUUGGUUUCUACUUUGGUAUUGGAGGUCUUUGCAGCUUCACACCUGCUCCUCUUUGUUCAUUAGCUGGAUCUCAGUGUUAUGCUUGGUUCCACUCGGCGUGAUAAGUUAUCUAUCGCUGAGGACACUGUAAAAGGUGGCCAAGGUAAAUGCAGAUGAACCGCUUCUAAUAGUCCAUUGACUUGGACAAUACUUUUAUGAUCUGAUCUCAAAUCAGGUAGGACUACCCGCUGAACUUAAGC
Molecule: unclassified non-coding RNA, 378 nt
Filed under: plant metagenome
Description: partial contains 5.8S ribosomal RNA, internal transcribed spacer 2, and large subunit ribosomal RNA
Rfam family: 5.8S ribosomal RNA (bases 1-105)
Source: RNAcentral